This 98-nucleotide transfer RNA is filed under the name Sutcliffiella tianshenii. RNAcentral's name for it is "Bacillus tianshenii tRNA-Sec". It matches the Rfam family "Selenocysteine transfer RNA". Lineage: Bacteria; Bacillati; Bacillota; Bacilli; Caryophanales; Bacillaceae. The record is from RNAcentral.
GGGGCUGGUUGGGUUGCUGGUGCACUCCGCGGUCUUCAAAACCGUCCUGGGAGGCGCGUGCCGUCUCCGGUGGGUUCGAUUCCCACACAGUCCCGCCA